This 497-nucleotide ribosomal RNA is filed under the name uncultured bacterium. Its description in RNAcentral is "partial 16S ribosomal RNA". It matches the Rfam family "Bacterial small subunit ribosomal RNA", at positions 28 to 507 of the family's 1533-position model. The record is from RNAcentral.
GAUGAACGCUGGCGGCGUGCCUAAUACAUGCAAGUCGAGCGAACAGAUAAGGAGCUUGCUCCUUUGACGUUAGCGGCGGACGGGUGAGUAACACGUGGGUAACCUACCUAUAAGACUGGAAUAACUCCGGGAAACCGGGGCUAAUGCCGGAUAACAUUUAGAACCGCAUGGUUCUAAAGUGAAAGAUGGUUUUGCUAUCACUUAUAGAUGGACCCGCGCCGUAUUAGCUAGUUGGUAAGGUAACGGCUUACCAAGGCAACGAUACGUAGCCGACCUGAGAGGGUGAUCGGCCACACUGGAACUGAGACACGGUACAGACUCCUACGGGAGGCAGCAGUAGGGAAUCUUCCGCGAUGGGCGAAAGCCUGACGGAGCAACGCCGCGUGAGUGAUGAAGGUCUUCGGAUCGUAAAACUCUGUUAUUAGGGAAGAACAAAUGUGUAAGUAACUGUGCACGUCUUGACGGUACCUAAUCAGAAAGCCACGGCUAACUACGUG